This 334-nucleotide ribosomal RNA is filed under the name uncultured bacterium. RNAcentral describes it as "bacterial SSU rRNA". It matches the Rfam family "Bacterial small subunit ribosomal RNA", at positions 29 to 361 of the family's 1533-position model. The record is from RNAcentral.
AUUGAACGCUGGCGGCGUGCCUAACACAUGCAAGUCGAGCGGUAACGCGGGGGCAACCCUGGCGACGAGCGGCGGACGGGUGAGUAACGCUUAGGAAUCUUCCCAGUAGUGGGGAACAACCCGGGGGAAACUCGGGCUAAUACCGCACACGCCCUUCGGGGGAAGGACGGGGGACCGGUAAGGCCUCGCGCUAUUGGAUGAGCCUAAGUCGGAUUAGCUAGUUGGUUAGGGUAACGGCCUACCAAGGCGACAAUCCGUAGCUGGCUGAGAGGACGACCAGCCACACUGGGACUGAGACACGGCCCAGACUCCUACGGGAGGCAGCAGUGGGGAA